GACGAACGCUGGCGGCGUGCUUAACACAUGCAAGUCGAACGGUAAGGCCCUUCGGGGUACACGAGUGGCGAACGGGUGAGUAACACGUGGGUGAUCUGCCCUGCACUUCGGGAUAAGCCUGGGAAACUGGGUCUAAUACCGGUUAGGACCCUGGGAUGCAUGUCCUGGGGUGGAAAGCUUUUGCGGUGUGGGAUGGGCCCGCGGCCUAUCAGCUUGUUGGUGGGGUGAUGGCCUACCAAGGCGACGACGGGUAGCCGGCCUGAGAGGGUGACCGGCCACACUGGGACUGAGACACGGCCCAGACUCCUACGGGAGGCAGCAGUGGGGAAUAUUACACAAUGGGCGCAAGCCUGAUGCAGCGACGCCGCGUGAGGGAUGACGGCCUUCGGGUUGUAAACCUCUUUCAGCACCGACGAAGCGCAAGUGACGGUAGGUGCAGAAGAAGGACCGGCCAACUACGUGCCAGCCGCCGCCGUAA
This 478-nucleotide ribosomal RNA is filed under the name uncultured bacterium. RNAcentral describes it as "partial 16S ribosomal RNA". It matches the Rfam family "Bacterial small subunit ribosomal RNA", at positions 28 to 523 of the family's 1533-position model. The record is from RNAcentral.